This is a non-coding RNA of Pelodiscus sinensis (Chinese soft-shelled turtle), 285 nucleotides long. Lineage: Eukaryota; Metazoa; Chordata; Testudines; Trionychidae. The record is from RefSeq and is a predicted model, not a curated record.
CCCUCCAGCUUCUGAGGGAGACAGACAUGUGUCUCUUUCUCCAAGAACCCAUUCUUCACUUUCUAAAAGACAGACUGACCCUGCCUUGAGAGCCUACCGUUCACAAAUAGAAAAACACAGGAAACAAGGACAGCAAAUAAGGGCAAGGAAAAAGCAGCAAUACAACAGCAGCAAAUAAAGGACAUGAAAAACAUAUUAGAGCGACAAGGUAGAUCUUCCUUCAGGUUAACAGGAGGUUUCAGAACAAAGGGCAUGUCUACACUGCAGCGUUAUUUCAAAAGAACU